RNAcentral lists this ribosomal RNA (464 nucleotides) under uncultured bacterium. RNAcentral's name for it is "partial 16S ribosomal RNA". It matches the Rfam family "Bacterial small subunit ribosomal RNA", at positions 28 to 507 of the family's 1533-position model. The record is from RNAcentral.
GACGAACGCUGGCGGCGUGCUUAACACAUGCAAGUCGAACGGUAAUGCCCUUUCAGGGUUCCCCGAGUGGCGGACUGGUGCGUACCACGUUGGUGAUCUUCCCUGCACUUUGUGAUAAGCCUGGUAACCUUGGUCUACUACCGCCUAUACCUCCGCCAUGCUUGUCGUGUGGUGUACAGCUUUUGCGGGCUUGGCUGGUCGCACGGCCUAUCAUCUUGUUGGUGGGGUGAUGGCAUACCAAGGCGCCGACGGGUAGCCCGCCUGGGAGUCUGUCCGGCCACACUAGGACUGAGAUAGGGAGCAGACGGAUACGGGAGGCAGCAGUGGGGAAUAUUACACAAUGGGCGCAAGCCUGAUGCAGAGACGUUGCGUGGGGGAUGACGGCCUGCGGGGUGUAAACAGCUUUCAGCACAGACGAAGCGUAAGUGACGGUAUGUGCAGAAGAAGCACCGGCCAACUACGUG